This 502-nucleotide ribosomal RNA is filed under the name uncultured bacterium. RNAcentral describes it as "partial 16S ribosomal RNA". It matches the Rfam family "Bacterial small subunit ribosomal RNA", at positions 28 to 507 of the family's 1533-position model. The record is from RNAcentral.
GACGAACGCUGGCGGCGUGCUUAACACAUGCAAGUCGAACGGUGAAGGGUGUGUCUUUUGUGGGCCCUGGAUGAGUGUCGUACGGGUGAGUAACAUGUGAGUAACCUGCUCCCUGCUUCUGUAUAUCCGCAUGAAAGUGUGGCUAAUACGGGAUAGUGUGGUGCUGUCGCAUGAUGGGUCUGGGAAAUGUGUUUGUUUGUGGUGUUGUGUGGUUGGGAUGGGCUCGCGGCCGAUGAGCUUGUUGGUGGGGUGAUGGCCUACCAAGGCGGUGACGGGUAGCCGGCCUGAGAGGGUGGACGGUCACACUGGGACUGAGACACGGCCCAGACUCCUACGAGAGGCAGCAGAGAGGAAUAUUGCACAAUGGGCGCAAGCCUGAUGCAGCGACGCCGCAUGAGGGAUAGUGGCCUUCGGGUUGUAAACCUCUUUCGCCAGUGAAAAAAGCCUGCUCCUUGUGGGUGGGUUGACGGUAGCUGGAUAAGAAGCGCCGGCUAACUACGUG